RNAcentral lists this Y RNA (110 nucleotides) under Microcebus murinus (gray mouse lemur). RNAcentral's name for it is "Y RNA (ENSMICG00000042166.1)". It matches the Rfam family "Y RNA". Rfam says of the family: Y RNAs are components of the Ro ribonucleoprotein particle (Ro RNP), in association with Ro60 and La proteins. The Y RNAs and Ro60 and La proteins are well conserved, but the function of the Ro RNP is not known. Lineage: Eukaryota; Metazoa; Chordata; Mammalia; Primates; Cheirogaleidae. The record is from Rfam by way of RNAcentral.
GGCUGGUCCGAAGGUGGCGAGUUCUCUCAAGUGAUUGUUCACAGCUACAGUUCAAACUCCUUUGCCCUAUUCUUUUCCCCCUUCCCACUAUUGCACUUGAUCAGCCUUAA